This 433-nucleotide ribosomal RNA is filed under the name uncultured bacterium. RNAcentral's name for it is "partial 16S ribosomal RNA". It matches the Rfam family "Bacterial small subunit ribosomal RNA", at positions 29 to 507 of the family's 1533-position model. The record is from RNAcentral.
AACGAACGCUGGCGGCAUGCCUAACACAUGCAAGUCGAACGAGACCUCCGGGUCUAGUGGCGCACGGGUGCGUAACGCGUGGGAACCUGCCUUUAGGUUCGGAAUAACUCAGUGAAAUUUGAGCUAAUACCGGAUGAUGUCUUCUGACCAAAGAUUUAUCGCGUUUAGAUGGGCACGCGUUGGUUUAGCUUGUUGGUGGGGUAAAGGCCUAUCAGGGCGAGGAUCCAUAGCUGGUCUGAGAGGAAGGGCCGCGACUCUGGGACGAGGACACGGCCGGGACUACUGCGCGAUGGAGGAGAGGCGAAUACAGCAAAAUCGGGUAGAGGCUGAUCGAGCUAUGGCUCGAGAGUCAUUAUGUUCGUAGGGAAGUAAAGCAGGUUUACCCGAGACUGUAAUGACGGUACCGGGAGAAUAAGCACCGGCUAACUCCGUG